Molecule: ribosomal RNA, 441 nt
Filed under: uncultured bacterium
Lineage: Bacteria
Description: partial 16S ribosomal RNA
Rfam family: Bacterial small subunit ribosomal RNA
Source: RNAcentral
CCUACGGGGUGCAGCAGUGGGGGAUAUUGCACAAUGGGGGGAACCCUGAUGCAGCGACGCCGCGUGGGUGAAGGAGUAUUUCGGUAUGUAAAGCCCUAUCGGCAGGGAAGAAUUUAGACGGUACCUGACUAAGAAGCCCCGGCUAACUACGUGCAAGCAGCCGCGGUAAUACGUAGGGGGCAAGCGUUAUCCGGAUUCACUGGGUGGAAAGGGAGCGUAGACGGCCAGGCAAGCCUGGAGUGAAAGCCCGGGGCCCAACCCCGGGACUGCUCUGGGAACUGACCGGCUGGAGUGCCGGAGGGGUAGGCGGAAUUCCUAGUGUAGCGGUGAAAUGCGUAGAUAUUAGGAGGAACACCAGUGGCGAAGGCGGCCUACUGGACGGUGACUGACGCUGAGGCUCGAAAGCGUGGGGAGCAAACAGGAUUAGAUACCCCUGUAGUC